GACGAACGCUGGCGGCGUGCCUAAUACAUGCAAGUAGAACGCUGAAGGAGGAGCUUGCUUCUCUGGAUGAGUUGCGAACGGGUGAGUAACGCGUAGGUAACCUGCCUGGUAGCGGGGGAUAACUAUUGGAAACGAUAGCUAAUACCGCAUAAUAUUGACUAUUGCAUGAUAGUCAGUUGAAAGGUGCAACUGCACCACUACCAGAUGGGCCUGCGUUGUAUUAGCUAGUUGGUGGGGUAACGGCUCACCAAGGCGACGAUACAUAGCCGACCUGAGAGGGUGAUCGGCCACACUGGGACUGAGACACGGCCCAGACUCCUACGGGAGGCAGCAGUAGGGAAUCUUCGGCAAUGGACGGAAGUCUGACCGAGCAACGCCGCGUGAGUGAAGAAGGUUUUCGGAUCGUAAAGCUCUGUUGUAAGAGAAGAACGAGUGUGAGAGUGGAAAGCUCACACUGUGACGGUAUCUUACCAGAAAGGGACGGCUAACUACGUG
This 495-nucleotide ribosomal RNA is filed under the name uncultured bacterium. Its description in RNAcentral is "partial 16S ribosomal RNA". It matches the Rfam family "Bacterial small subunit ribosomal RNA", at positions 28 to 507 of the family's 1533-position model. The record is from RNAcentral.